Molecule: ribosomal RNA, 449 nt
Filed under: uncultured bacterium
Lineage: Bacteria
Description: partial 16S ribosomal RNA
Rfam family: Bacterial small subunit ribosomal RNA
Source: RNAcentral
AGCGAACGCUGGCGGCAGGCCUAACACAUGCAAGUCGAACGAAGUCUUCGGACUUAGUGGCGGACGGGUGAGUAACACGUGGGAACGUGCCUUUAGGUUCGGAAUAACUCAGGGAAACUUGCGCUAAUACCGAAUGUGCCCUUCGGGGGUAAGAUUUAUCGCCUUUAGAGCGGCCCGCGUCUGAUUAGCUAGUUGGUGAGGUAAAGGCUCACCAAGGCGACGAUCAGUAGCUGGUCUGAGAGGAUGAUCAGCCACAUUGGGACUGAGACACGGCCCAAACUCCUACGGGAGGCAGCAGUGGGGAAUCUUGCGCAAUGGGCGAAAGCCUGACGCAGCCAUGCCGCGUGAAUGAUGAAGGUCUUAGGAUUGUAAAAUUCUUUCACCGGGGACGAUAAUGACGGUACCCGGAGAAGAAGCCCCGGCUAACUUCGUGCCAGCCGCCGCGGUAA